RNAcentral lists this ribosomal RNA (460 nucleotides) under uncultured bacterium. Its description in RNAcentral is "partial 16S ribosomal RNA". It matches the Rfam family "Bacterial small subunit ribosomal RNA", at positions 338 to 795 of the family's 1533-position model. The record is from RNAcentral.
CCUACGUGUGGCAGCAGUGAGGAAUAUUGGUCAAUGGACGAGAGUCUGAACCAGCCAAGUAGCGUGAAGGAUAAUUGCCUUAUGGGUUGUAAACUUCUUUUAUAAAGGAAUAAAACGAGGCACGUGUGCCUUUUUGCAUGUACUUUAUGAAAAAGGAUCGGCGAACUCCGUGCCAGCAGCCGCGGUAAUACGGAGGAUCCGAGCGUUAUCCGGCUUUAUAGGGUUUAAAGGGAGCGUAGAGGGGUUGUUAAGUCAGUUGUGAAAGUUUUCGUCUCAACCGUAAAAUUGCAAUUGAUACUGGCAGUCUCGAGUACAGUUGAGGUAGGCGGAAUUCGUGGUGUAGCGGUGAAAUGCUUAGAUAUCACGAAGAACCCCGAUUGCGAAGGCAGCUUACUAAACUGUGACUGACAUUGAUGCUCGAAAGUGUGGGUAUCAAACAGGAUUAGAUACCCUAGUAGUC